CCUACGGGCGGCAGCAGUGGGGAAUAUUGGACAAUGGGCGAAAGCCUGAUCCAGCCAUGCCGCGUGUGUGAAGAAGGCCUUCGGGUUGUAAAGCACUUUCAGUGGGGAAGAAAGCCUUGGGGCUAAUACCCUCGAGGAAGGACAUCACCCACAGAAGAAGCACCGGCUAACUCCGUGCCAGCAGCCGCGGUAAUAUGGAGGGUGCGAGCGUUAAUCGGAAUUACUGGGCGUAAAGCGCGCGUAGGCGGUCUGAUAAGCCGGUUGUGAAAGCCCCGGGCUCAACCUGGGAACGGCAUCCGGAACUGUCAGGCUAGAGUGCAGGAGAGGAAGGUAGAAUUCCCGGUGUAGCGGUGAAAUGCGUAGAGAUCGGGAGGAAUACCAGUGGCGAAGGCGGCCUUCUGGACUGACACUGACGCUGAGGUGCGAAAGCGUGGGUAGCAAACAGGAUUAGAUACCCUAGUAGUC
Molecule: ribosomal RNA, 465 nt
Filed under: Vreelandella stevensii
Lineage: Bacteria; Pseudomonadati; Pseudomonadota; Gammaproteobacteria; Oceanospirillales; Halomonadaceae
Description: partial 16S ribosomal RNA
Rfam family: Bacterial small subunit ribosomal RNA
Source: RNAcentral